UGUGCUGGUCGGCCGGUGUGUGCAUUUCAGUUCUUCAGUGCUAAUUUGGUCGUAUAAGCUAGUACUUUGCAGGGUCUGCUCUAGUGAGUCCUUUGUUGCCAGAUAACUAGCCAUGCUUCAAUACCGACCUCUCUUUAUGAAGAAACAUAGUCGUAUAUCAGAUGCAUCUUGGUUUGUCCCGCAAAAAAAAAUGUCCAUCCGUUCUAGUAGAUCUUUCUUCGUGUACUCUAGUUUCUUCAAGUAAAUCAUUUCUGUGCUGGUUGGCCGGUGUGUGCAUCUCAGUUCUUCAGUGCAAAUUAUUGGUUAUCCACGAUAGAUUUAUAGUGCUAAUUUGGCCGUGUAGGCUACUUUGUAGGGUCUGCUCCAGUGAGUCCUUUUUUGCCAGAUAACUAAAACAUACUUCAAUACUCAUCUCUCUUUAUGAAGAAACAUAUAUCAGAUGCAUCUUGAUUUAUCCCGACAAGAAAAAAAAGAUGCAUCUUGAUUUGUUUGCCAACUGAACGGUGCAAAAACUUCAUAUAAAUAGGUCAGUCUUGGAUGAAAGUUACCGCUGUUUGCGGACUUAAAAGAGAUACCAGUGCAGAAGAAAUGAAGAGGGCGCUAUUAAUUAGCUGUUAUCGUCCACUGUUUUUUACUGCUGGUUUGGUGUUUGCGCCUUAAGUACAAAUCGUUGGUGAUUCCCUGUAGAUUUACAUUGGUUGGUAAAAGAUGGUUUUUCCCUUGGGAUUUGCUAAUGUUUUUUGCCUUGAUAACUAGCUUAUUAUUCAUUCAUUGAUGUCUUCUCUAUAUUUAGAAAUAGUAUACGCAUCAUGAUGACAUACUGCCAACUAAUCGUUGCAAAAACUUCACAUGCGUAGGUACAUGGGCAUGAGAUGGGAAUCACAAUUGUUGUGGAGGAAGGGAAGAAUGUCUUGUUAUUUGGCUGUUGCCAUCCAUGUUCUUUUGGGUUUCACAAUGCAAUAAGUGUUCCUCUCCGCAACGAAUAUAUUAGAUCGAGCAUCAUGUCAUGUACACCAUAAGCUUUUGCUGUCUUCAUAGUCGAUGUCUACCAGUUCGAUCAUGCUUCUAUUUAUCAACUCAUUGAAGUAACCCUCUCCUAGCUCAAAUGGGCCAAUUUCUCGUUUACAUGAUACAUAAAAAAUUCAGAUAUCCAUCUCCAUAUGAACUGGUCUCUCUUCAUUUUGUAAUCUUCUGGAUACAUGCUUACUUAUAAUAAAUGAUGUGAAGGUAGAUCAUAGAACAACAACAUAAUCUUUUGACUUCGGCAAGUCAGUGUAGACUAGAGAUAGAACACAACAGGAGCCACACACACCAACUAUAUGGAAAGUAGCAAUGAAAUAGUAAAACAAGCUCCUGACUUGUAGAUUAUGUCAAAGUGAUGGUCUAGAAUCAAGCUUCUUUUACUACUAGUUUUGGUCUACCUUGACAUCUGCUAUAGGAUUAGUUAUUAUAUAUAAGUAUGUUUUCAGAAGAUUAGAAGAUUAAGCAAGGUCAGUUGAUAGUAAAUGGAUAGCUGAAUGUUUUUGUUUAUCAUGAAAAACAAGAGAUUAGCUUAUUUGAGAUCGGAAUAGAGUUACUCAAUGAGACAAUAAAUAGAAACAUGAUUGAACCAACAGACAUCAAUGCUGAUGAAGGCAUGGAAUAAAUCUUAUCGUAUACUCCCUCUGUAAACUAAUAUAAGAGCGUUUAGAACACUACUUUAGUAAUCUAAACGCUCUUAUAUUAGUUUACGGAGGGAGUACAUGAUAUGAUGAUUGAUCCCAUAUGUAUGUUUUUGCCAAGUGAAGAAAACCACUUGUAUGGCAUUGGGUGAAAGCGGUCUAUCCAAAGGCAAGAUUUGAAGAUCAUCCAUCUGAAAGAGCACGACAGACAUAACCACCAUCAGAAGCAGCAACAAUGCCACAAGUGAGCUCUCUUUGCAAUAUUCAUGUGUUAUUGUCUAUUCAGUGUUGCUUAUGCUGAGUGUUCAUGUUCUACAUGUGUUAGAUUUGGAAUAUUGUGCUGCAUGCUUCCAUUCUUUCCAAUUGAUAUUUUGGGACUCAAGAACAGUGUGCAUUAACCAUGGUGUUUUGAUUUGUGUUCUGCAUCAACAUGAAGCUCUCAUUGUAACUAUACCCACUUAUGCCUGAAUACAUUAUCACUUCCGUCAGAUUCAAGAACGACCAAGUUUCUGCGGCACCUCCUGCAUUUUUCUCAGGAUGAACUUCCUUCUCCAUUUCAUUCUUUUGUAAGGAAGAGUUUUGUACUUAUGAUGUAUGCCUGGCAGGUUAAUUUUCCGCCAGCUCAAGUUAAUGUAGCCUGGCAUCCCUUACAUUUUCUCCUUAAGAACCAUCAGUUAUUCUGUACUGAUGUCUUGUAUGCUUCCUCUCCUGCAUUCAUCAUUACACUCCUUUGUUUGUUACAGCUUUAUUUGAGACUCACAAACCAAAAAACCACGUUCAGCUUGUACUAUGUUCUGAAGUUUCAUCUUCUAUUUGUCGUGCUGGUUUGAUCGAAUAUACGAGGAAGUCAGCUGUGUCAUUUUAAUGUGCCGGCUUAGGACCUGUAUUGAGUAAAUCUUUAUUUGAGUAUAACUGGAACUUGACUCGCCAUUUCAUCUCAGGCGCACCUUCGCUGUCGUUUACUCUGUAGUAGAAGUAUUUUGAUAGGCUGCUUUGGCCGAGCUGUAGAUGGCGAUGAUGCAAACAGUGCCAUUCUCCUUUCUUUCUUUUCUGCGGGGGAUGCAAACCGUGUCAUUCACAGUCAUUGGGCUUGCCCCCACAGUACAGCUGGUCGUGAAAUACAGCCACCAGGUUCCAGCCUCUUCCACUGACAAGACCUCAAUCUGCGGGGGAUGUCUCUAUGACUGACUGGAGUAGCGAUGCCAUGCUUGACAACGGUACAAUACGAGGUUACGAGCAAGCGUACAAGUGAUGAAUUGGACGCAUAAUCCAUCAGAGAUUUCAGGAACGAGUUAAAUGGGUACGCAUGGUGGGAGUGCCAAAAUACGGAGGUGGUGUCUUCUGUCUAAUUGCAAACUGCCAAGCUUAUAUAACUAAACUAAUGCAUCUGCUCAGAGGCAUCUCUAGGCAGUGCAAACCAAGCACAUUAUAACUAAACCAGAGUGCACAUGCUCAGAGGCAUAGAUGGCAUCGCAGGCACAUACUACGAUUUCACAAGUGCCAAAGAGAGUUUAAUUAAGUAUUGCAUUUGCAUGGGUGGAGUAAUUAACUAGAGUUGCUCACACCUAUUCCCUCAAAAAAAAAAAGAGUUGCUCACACCUACACAUGGUCUCAGGAGCAAGAGAGCAAUCUGUCCUGACACUUUUCUUAGGCACGACAGCACGCGAGUAAAGUGCGCGCAUGGAGACCAGUGACGCGGUUUAAUUUAACCUGAUCACUGCAGUCGAAGCGGCAUCCAAGGGCCAUUUUUCGCCCAUCUCAAGAUCGCAUCGAGCUUGAGCCUCGUCUAAUACUCCUUCGCUUCACUGUUACUAGGACGGAGGGGUUCGUUCAUGAAGAACACUAGAUGAGUAAAAAGAAAAGAAAAAUGUAUGUUGGAUUUGUUUGGCUACUUCUAGAUGCUUUCGCUCUAGUGUAAUAUAUAUUUUUUCUAUCUAAUAUCAAAUGAUGUUAAGGGGAAGCAAAAGCUUUAUGAAGUUAAUAUGCAGUCUUCUAGCCUACCCCGUAGGUUGAUGUGGUUGGCUGGACUAAGCCGCCCAAGAAUCACAUAAAGAUCAAUGUGGACGCUUCUUUUAUUGCAGGCACGGGAUCGGCUGGGCUGGGAGCGGUUGGCAGGGAUUGUUUUGGUGAUAUUGUCUUCUCAGCGGCUUCCUAUUUUCAUGGAUGCUCGGAUGCAGAGGAAGCUGAAGUCUAGGUCCUAUCUUUUGGCCUCAACCAGGAUCGUAAACUGAAUUUGAACAAUGCAGAUGGAGACCGAUUGCAUCGCAAUAGUGGCCGUUGUGAAUGAUUGUAAUGUUAGCAGGGGCAGCUCGUGGGCUUGCUGUGAUAACUCUAAGGAUAUUAAGGAGGGUGGAGUUUGUUCUGUUUCCAAAGUCCAUAGGGGGAGCAAUGUGGUCGCGCAUGAGCUUGCUGCCCAUGCUAGAGUGAAUGGGGAUUUCUUUGUGUUAGUUGAUGUGCCACAAGCUUAGAAACAUGUAAUUGCUUCCGUUUGUAACCCAGGUAUAUUGAUAUAAAUGAAGCUCUCCCUUUCCUCAAAAAAUAUAUUUCUUUUCUAUCCUACCUACUGUUUUCUAGAGCCCUCUAGUUGUGAGUAGCUAUGAGUAGAAUGGUGAAUCUUAAUUAAUGUUUUCUAGAGUGUUCCAGCUAUAAGUAGGAGUAUGUGUAGGCUUCCAAGAGCCCUAUAAAUAGAGGCCCUCACCUCUACUUUAUAUCCAGACUAUGUACCCCCACUAUCUGUAAUAGAACUUGGUGUUUUUAUCUAAGAUCUUGGAGUAGAUAUUGUGCUAUAGGAGUUUUGGAUUGAACUCCUCCUGCCAUAUCGGCCUACAUUUGCCUCUAGAGCGAUAUCUACCACAAGACGUUGAAGUAGUCCCUUCAACUCUAGUGUUGUACACUUUGUACCAACAAGGCGGAGUCGCUCCUCCACAACCUUGUGCUGCUUUCAGGUGGUAUCAAAGCCUCGUUGAUCCAUACAAGUUCUUGUUGUUCUCUUUGAGAGCAAGCUGCAGCAAGCAAUGAAGCAAUUGGAGAAGAGAUAGAUGCUGCAGAAGAACAAAUCAAAGAGUUGCAUG
RNAcentral lists this long non-coding RNA (4732 nucleotides) under Triticum aestivum (bread wheat). Its description in RNAcentral is "long non-coding RNA (TAES_LNC026409)". The stretch from base 1656 to 1742 matches the Rfam family "MIR1120/MIR1122 microRNA precursor family". Lineage: Eukaryota; Viridiplantae; Streptophyta; Magnoliopsida; Poales; Poaceae. The record is from RNAcentral.